AUUGAACGCUGGCGGCAGGCCUAACACAUGCAAGUCGAACGGUAACAGGAAGAAGCUUGCUUCUUUGCUGACGAGUGGCGGACGGGUGAGUAAUGUCUGGGAAACUGCCUGAUGGAGGGGGAUAACUACUGGAAACGGUAGCUAAUACCGCAUAACGUCGCAAGACCAAAGAGGGGGACCUUCGGGCCUCUUGCCAUCGGCUGUGCCCAGAUGGGAUUAGCUAGUAGGUGGGGUAACGGCUCACCUAGGCGACGAUCCCUAGCUGGUCUGAGAGGAUGACCAGCCACACUGGAACUGAGACACGGUCCAGACUCCUACGGGAGGCAGCAGUGGGGAAUAUUGCACAAUGGGCGCAAGCCUGAUGCAGCCAUGCCGCGUGUAUGAAGAAGGCCUUCGGGUUGUAAAGUACUUUAAGCGGGGAGGAAGGGAGUAAAGUUAAUACCUUGACUCAUUGACGUUACCCGCAGAAGAAGCACCGGCUAACUCCGUG
Molecule: ribosomal RNA, 490 nt
Filed under: uncultured bacterium
Lineage: Bacteria
Description: partial 16S ribosomal RNA
Rfam family: Bacterial small subunit ribosomal RNA
Source: RNAcentral